GGUUUGAUUAUGCUCAGAUUGAACGCUGGCGGGAUGCUUUACACAUGCAAGUCGAACGGCAGCACGGACUUCGGUCUGGUGGCGAGUGGCGAACGGGUGAGUAAUGUAUCGGAACGUGCCUAGUAGCGGGGAUAACUACGCGAAAGCGUAGCUAAUACCGCAUACGCCCUUCGGGGGAAAGCGGGGGACCUUUCGCCUUCGCACUAUUAGAGCGGCCGAUAUCGAUUAGCUAGUUGGUGGGGUAACGGCUCACCAAGGCGACGAUCCGUAGCUGGUUUGAGAGUGACGACCAGCCACACCGUGGGGACUGAGACACGGCCUGGACUCCUACGUUACGGGAGGCAGCAGUGGGGAAUUUUGGACAAUGGGGGAAACCCUGAUCCAGCCAUCCCGCGUGCGAUGAAGGCCUUCGGGUUGUAAAGCACUUUUGCAGGAAAGAAACGGUGACGGAUAAUACCCGUGCAACUGACGGUACCUUGGUAGAAUAAGCACUGACUAACUACGCGCCAGCAGCCGCGGUAAUGCCGUAGGGUGCAAGCGUUAAUCGGAAUUACUGGGCGUAAAGCGUGCGCAGGCGGUUCGAAAGAAAGAUGUGAACCUGAGCUUAACUUUGGAACUGCAUUUUUAACUACCGAGCUAGAGGCCAGAGAGUGGAAUCGCGUGUAGCAGUGAAAUGCGUAGAUAUGCGGAGGAACACCGAUGGCGAAGGCAGCCUCCUGGGAUAACACUGACGCUCAUGCACGAAAGCGUGGGGAGCAAACAGGAUUAGAUACUCCCGGUAGUCCACGCCUCAAACGAUGUCAACUAGCUGUUGGGGCCUUCGGGCCUUGGUAGCGCAGCUAACGCAGUUGACCGCCUGGGGAGUACGGUCGCAAGAUUAAAACUCAAAGGAAUUGACGGGGACCCGCACAAGCGGUGGAUGAUGUGGAUUAAUUCGAUGCAACGCGAAAAACCUUACCUACCCCUGAUGUCUGGAACUCGAAGAGAUUCGGGAGUGUUUGCAAGAGAACCGGAACACAGGUGCUGCAUGGCUGUCGCCGCUCAAAAUGAGAUGUUGGGUUAAGUCCCGCAACGAGCGCAACCCUUGUCAUUAGUUGCUACGAAAGGGCACUCUAAUGAGACUGCCGGUGACAAACCGGAGGAAGGUGGGGAUGACGUCAAGUCCCCAUGGCCCUUAUGGGUAGGGUCACACGUCAUACAAUGGUCGGGACAGAGGGUCGCCAACCUCAAGGCGAGGGGAGCCAAUCCCAGAAACCCGAUCGUAGUCCGGAUCGCAGUCUGCAACUGACUGCGUGAAGUCGGAAUCGUUAGUAAUCGCGGAUCAGCAUGUCGCAGGAAUACGUUCCUGACCUGUACACACCAUCAUGUCACACCAUGGGAGUGGGUUUUACCAGAAGUAGUUAGCCUAACCGUAAGGAGGGCGAUCACCACGGUAGGAUUCAUGACUGGGGUGAAGUCGCAACAAGGUAA
This 1470-nucleotide ribosomal RNA is filed under the name uncultured Bordetella sp. RNAcentral's name for it is "partial 16S-23S ribosomal RNA intergenic spacer". It matches the Rfam family "Bacterial small subunit ribosomal RNA". The record is from RNAcentral. Lineage: Bacteria; Pseudomonadati; Pseudomonadota; Betaproteobacteria; Burkholderiales; Alcaligenaceae.